This 492-nucleotide ribosomal RNA is filed under the name uncultured bacterium. Its description in RNAcentral is "partial 16S ribosomal RNA". It matches the Rfam family "Bacterial small subunit ribosomal RNA", at positions 29 to 507 of the family's 1533-position model. The record is from RNAcentral.
AGUGAACGCUGGCGGUAGGCCUAACACAUGCAAGUCGAACGGCAGCACAGUAAGAGCUUGCUCUUACGGGUGGCGAGUGGCGGACGGGUGAGGAAUACAUCGGAAUCUACUUUUUCGUGGGGGAUAACGUAGGGAAACUUACGCUAAUACCGCAUACGACCUACGGGUGAAAGCAGGGGAUCUUCGGACCUUGCGCGAUUGAAUGAGCCGAUGUCGGAUUAGCUAGUUGGCGGGGUAAAGGCCCACCAAGGCGACGAUCCGUAGCUGGUCUGAGAGGGUGAUCAGCCACACUGGAACUGAGACACGGUCCAGACUCCUACGGGAGGCAGUAGUGGGGAAUAUUGGACAAUGGGCGCAAGCCUGAUCCAGCCAUACCGCGUGGGUGAAGAAGGCCUUCGGGUUGUAAAGCCCUUUUGUUGGGAAAGAAAAGCAGCAGGUUAAUACCCCGCUGUUCUGACGGUACCCAAAGAAUAAGCACCGGCUAACUUCGUG